This 168-nucleotide ribosomal RNA is filed under the name uncultured bacterium. RNAcentral's name for it is "partial small subunit ribosomal RNA". It matches the Rfam family "Bacterial small subunit ribosomal RNA", at positions 26 to 193 of the family's 1533-position model. The record is from RNAcentral.
AGGACGAACGCUGGCGGCGUGCUUAACACAUGCAAGUCGAGCGGUAAGGCUCCUUCGGGAGUACACGGAGCGGCGAACGGGUGAGUAACACGUGAGCAAUCUGCCCUUCACAUCGGAAUAACCUCGGGAAACCGAGGCUAAUACCGGAUACGACCAUCGGUGGCAUCA